RNAcentral lists this ribosomal RNA (774 nucleotides) under uncultured Neocallimastigales. RNAcentral's name for it is "partial large subunit ribosomal RNA". It matches the Rfam family "Eukaryotic large subunit ribosomal RNA", at positions 23 to 616 of the family's 3401-position model. The record is from RNAcentral. Lineage: Eukaryota; Fungi; Neocallimastigomycota; Neocallimastigomycetes; Neocallimastigales.
AGAGAGAGACAUGCGCGCAUAUCAAUAAGCGGAGGAAAAGAAACUAACAAGGAUUCCCCUAGUAACGGCGAGUGAAGCGGGAAGAGCUCAAAUUUGAAAUCUUAAAGGGUUUCCCUUUACGAAUUGUAGUUUAAAGAAGUGUUUUCUGUUGAGGUUUUGGUAAAAGUUCUUUGGAAUAGGACAUCAUAGAGGGUGAGAAUCCCGUAUUUGACCUUUACUUUCAACUUUGUGAUACACUUUCAAAGAGUCGGAUUGUUUGGGAAUGCAGUCCAAAAUGGGUGGUAAAUUUCAUCUAAAGCUAAAUAUUGGCGAGAGACCGAUAGCGAACAAGUACCGUGAGGGAAAGAUGAAAAGAACUUUGAAAAGAGAGUUAAACAGUACGUGAAAUUGUCAAAAGGGAAGCGUUUGACACCAGUGUUGUUUUUCUGAAAAUCAAUUUAAGAACUGUUUAUGCUAAGCUGUUUAGACUUUAUCAGCUAACUGUUUAGUUUUGAGCUUUUCUUUAAUGCACUUUUCAGUUAACAAGUCAGCAUCAAUUUCUUUUGCUGUAAAAAAGCUUGAGGAAGGUGGCUUGAGAUUCGUCUUAAGUGUUUAUAGCCUCUUGCCUAUGCAGUCGGAGAGAUUGAGGUCUGCAGCGUAGAUCCUUCGGGGCUAAAUGCAUUUGUGCUAAGUUAUAGCAUUUUAUAGACAACUUGUUGACUAUGAUUUGUCUUGUAGCUUACUCGCUUAUGUUAUUUUACCUACGCUUAGGAUGUUGAGCGCAUGUCUCUCUCU